CUACGGGCGGCUGCAGUGGGGAAUAUUGCACAAUGGGCGCAAGCCUGAUGCAGCCAUGCCGCGUGUAUGAAGAAGGCCUUCGGGUUGUAAAGUACUUUCAGCGGGGAGGAAGGGAGUAAAGUUAAUACCUUUGCUCAUUGACGUUACCCGCAGAAGAAGCACCGGCUAACUCCGUGCCAGCAGCCGCGGUAAUACGGAGGGUGCAAGCGUUAAUCGGAAUUACUGGGCGUAAAGCGCACGCAGGCGGUUUGUUAAGUCAGAUGUGAAAUCCCCGGGCUCAACCUGGGAACUGCAUCUGAUACUGGCAAGCUUGAGUCUCGUAGAGGGGGGUAGAAUUCCAGGUGUAGCGGUGAAAUGCGUAGAGAUCUGGAGGAAUACCGGUGGCGAAGGCGGCCCCCUGGACGAAGACUGACGCUCAGGUGCGAAAGCGUGGGGAGCAAACAGGAUUAGAUACCCUUGUAGUC
RNAcentral lists this ribosomal RNA (464 nucleotides) under uncultured bacterium. RNAcentral's name for it is "partial 16S ribosomal RNA". It matches the Rfam family "Bacterial small subunit ribosomal RNA", at positions 339 to 795 of the family's 1533-position model. The record is from RNAcentral.